CCAAUAGCGUAUAUUAAAGUUGUUGCAGUUAAAAAGCUCGUAGUUGAAUUUCGAGAUCAGUACGCUGGUCGUGCCUUCGGUAUGCACUGGUGUCACUGGUUUCUCCCUUCUGGAGAACCGUUAUGUCAUUAAGUUGGUGUGGCGGGGAAUCAGGACUGUUACUUUGAAAAAAUUAGAGUGUUUAAAGCAGGCUCGCGCUUGAAUACAUUAGCAUGGAAUAAUGAAAUAGGACGUUUGACCCUAUUUUGUUGGUUUCUAGGAUCGACGUAAUGAUUAAUAGGGAUAGUUGGGGGCAUUAGUAUUCAAUUGUCAGAGGUGAAAUUCUUGGAUUUAUUGAAGACUAACUACUGCGAAAGCAUUUGCCAAGGAUGUUUUCAUUAAUCAAGAACGAAAGUUAGGGGAUCGAAGACGAUCAGAUACCGUCGUAGUCUUAACCAUAAACUAUGCCGACUAGGGAUCGGAUGAUGUUAAUUUUUUAAUGACUCAUUCGGCGCCUUACG
Molecule: ribosomal RNA, 500 nt
Filed under: uncultured Glomeromycotina
Lineage: Eukaryota; Fungi; Glomeromycota
Description: partial small subunit ribosomal RNA
Rfam family: Eukaryotic small subunit ribosomal RNA
Source: RNAcentral